GUGCUUGCUUCAGCAGCAUGUAUACUAAAAUUAGAAUGAUACAGAAAAGAUUAGCAUGGCCUCUGUGCAAGGAUGACAUGCAAAUUCGUGAAGCAUUCCAUAUUUUU
RNAcentral lists this small nuclear RNA (107 nucleotides) under Prolemur simus (greater bamboo lemur). Lineage: Eukaryota; Metazoa; Chordata; Mammalia; Primates; Lemuridae. The record is from RNAcentral.